AUUGAACGCUGGCGGCAGGCCUAACACAUGCAAGUCGAACGGUAACAGGAAACAGCUUGCUGUUUCGCUGACGAGUGGCGGACGGGUGAGUAAUGUCUGGGAAACUGCCUGAUGGAGGGGGAUAACUACUGGAAACGGUAGCUAAUACCGCAUAACGUCGCAAGACCAAAGAGGGGGACCUUCGGGCCUCUUGCCAUCGGAUGUGCCCAGAUGGGAUUAGCUAGUAGGUGGGGUAACGGCUCACCUAGGCGACGAUCCCUAGCUGGUCUGAGAGGAUGACCAGCCACCCUGGAACUGAGACACGGUCCAGACUCCUACGGGAGGCAGCAGUGGGGAAUAUUGCACAAUGGGCGCAAGCCUGAUGCAGCCAUGCCGCGUGUAUGAAGAAGGCCUUCGGGUUGUAAAGUACUUUCAGCGGGGAGGAAGGGAGUAAAGUUAAUACCUUUACUCAUUGACGUUACCCGCAGAAGAAGCACCGGCUAACUCCGUG
Molecule: ribosomal RNA, 490 nt
Filed under: uncultured bacterium
Lineage: Bacteria
Description: partial 16S ribosomal RNA
Rfam family: Bacterial small subunit ribosomal RNA
Source: RNAcentral